GACGAACCGUGCGAACGUUGUUCGGAAUCACUGGGCAUAAAGGGCGCGUAGGCGGGCUGUCCAGUCUGGGGUGAAAUCCCGCGGCUCAACCGUGGAACUGCCUCAGAUACUGACGGCCUCGAGGGAGAUAGGGGCAUGCGGAACUGUAGGUGGAGCGGUGAAAUGCGUUGAUAUCUACAGGAACUCCGGUGACGAAGGCGGCGUGCUGGAUCUCUUCUGACGCUGAGGCGCGAAAGCCAGGGGAGCAAACGGG
Molecule: unclassified non-coding RNA, 253 nt
Filed under: uncultured Planctomycetia bacterium
Lineage: Bacteria; Pseudomonadati; Planctomycetota; Planctomycetia
Description: contains 16S-23S intergenic spacer region
Rfam family: Bacterial small subunit ribosomal RNA
Source: RNAcentral